Molecule: long non-coding RNA, 336 nt
Organism: Dufourea novaeangliae
Lineage: Eukaryota; Metazoa; Arthropoda; Insecta; Hymenoptera; Halictidae
Exons: 3
Source: RefSeq, a predicted model, not a curated record
GUAGAAAUUCGUGCAGAACAAUCAGUGAUUAUAUGCUCCUAAAAUACAAGCAAUACGGUGUUAGUGAACAAAGACGUGCAGUAAAUGGUAAUUGUGACGAUUAAAAAAGGUAGUGCUAUGAUACCUCUCCGUAAAUGAACGUUAGGAGUGGUGACACGCGGGAGCCGAUAUUUGAAAUCGGAGUGAGGAUGUACGGCACACGGAACAGCCAGAAAAACACAGAGAACAAGGCCAGAGAGAAAACAAUCAGGAGAGGAAAGAGUACGCAAUACCCAAACUGGGCCCGGCGACGGUGACUGGCCAUAGUUCACGGUUAUCCCCCUUCUCGUGGCCGGC